RNAcentral lists this long non-coding RNA (261 nucleotides) under Sorghum bicolor (sorghum). RNAcentral's name for it is "long non-coding RNA (SBIC_LNC015109)". Lineage: Eukaryota; Viridiplantae; Streptophyta; Magnoliopsida; Poales; Poaceae. The record is from RNAcentral.
CGGCCCUUACAAUUAUUUGAUAUAUUAAAUAUUUCAUAGGCAAACCCAGAAUAUAUCUAACAAUGGAAGGCACCAGGAUGUCUAUUUCCUUCUUAUUCUCUCACCCCCAGCAUCUGCAACAUACUGGCUUUCCUCUCUUUCGCAUCUUGAUAAACGAGAUUGGGAUGUUGUAGUGCAGCAUGUGCACGGUCUCUAGGCUCUCCACAGUACUGCAUUGCAACAAAGAGAUGCUAUAACCGGCAUGCAUGUCCCAUGGUUUUC